GGGUUGUGAGGUUAAGCGACUAAGCGUACACGGUGGAUGCCCUGGCAGUCAGAGGCGAUGAAGGACGUGCUAAUCUGCGAAAAGCGUCGGUAAGGUGAUAUGAACCGUUAUAACCGGCGAUGUCCGAAUGGGGAAACCCAGUGCAAUUCGUUGCACUAUCGUUAACUGAAUACAUAGGUUAACGAGGCGAACCGGGGGAACUGAAACAUCUAAGUACCCCGAGGAAAAGAAAUCAACCGAGAUUCCCCCAGUAGCGGCGAGCGAACGGGGAGCAGCCCAGAGUCUGAAUCAGCUUGUGUGUUAGUGGAACGGUCUGGAAAGUCCGACGGUACAGGGUGAUAGUCCCGUACACCAAAAUGCACAGGUUGUGAACUCGAAGAGUAGGGCGGGACACGUGGUAUCCUGUCUGAAUAUGGGGGGACCAUCCUCCAAGGCUAAAUACUCCUGACUGACCGAUAGUGAACCAGUACCGUGAGGGAAAGGCGAAAAGAACCCCGGCGAGGGGAGUGAAAAAGAACCUGAAACCGUGUACGUACAAGCAGUGGGAGCACCUUCGGGUGUGACUGCGUACCUUUUGUAUAAUGGGUCAGCGACUUAUAUUCUGUAGCAAGGUUAACCGUAUAGGGGAGCCGCAGGGAAACCGAGUCUUAACUGGGCGUUAAGUUGCAGGGUAUAGACCCGAAACCCGGUGAUCUAGCCAUGGGCAGGUUGAAGGUUGGGUAACACUAACUGGAGGACCGAACCGACUAAUGUUGAAAAAUUAGCGGAUGACUUGUGGCUGGGGGUGAAAGGCCAAUCAAACCGGGAGAUAGCUGGUUCUCCCCGAAAGCUAUUUAGGUAGCGCCUCGUGAACUCAUCUUCGGGGGUAGAGCACUGUUUCGGCUAGGGGGUCAUCCCGACUUACCAACCCGAUGCAAACUACGAAUACCGAAGAAUGUUAUCACGGGAGACACACGGCGGGUGCUAACGUCCGUCGUGAAGAGGGAAACAACCCAGACCGCCAGCUAAGGUCCCAAAGUCAUGGUUAAGUGGGAAACGAUGUGGGAAGGCACAGACAGCCAGGAUGUUGGCUUAGAAGCAGCCAUCAUUUAAAGAAAGCGUAAUAGCUCACUGGUCGAGUCGGCCUGCGCGGAAGAUGUAACGGGGCUAAACCAUGCACCGAAGCUGCGGCAGCGACACUAUGUGUUGUUGGGUAGGGGAGCGUUCUGUAAGCCUGCGAAGGUGUGCUGUGAGGCAUGCUGGAGGUAUCAGAAGUGCGAAUGCUGACAUAAGUAACGAUAAAGCGGGUGAAAAGCCCGCUCGCCGGAAGACCAAGGGUUCCUGUCCAACGUUAAUCGGGGCAGGGUGAGUCGACCCCUAAGGCGAGGCCGAAAGGCGUAGUCGAUGGGAAACAGGUUAAUAUUCCUGUACUUGGUGUUACUGCGAAGGGGGGACGGAGAAGGCUAUGUUAGCCGGGCGACGGUUGUCCCGGUUUAAGCAUGUAGGCUGGUUAUCCAGGCAAAUCCGGAUAAUCAAGGCUGAGGUGUGAUGACGAGGCACUACGGUGCUGAAGUAACAAAUGCCCUGCUUCCAGGAAAAGCCUCUAAGCAUCAGGUAACAUCAAAUCGUACCCCAAACCGACACAGGUGGUCAGGUAGAGAAUACCAAGGCGCUUGAGAGAACUCGGGUGAAGGAACUAGGCAAAAUGGUGCCGUAACUUCGGGAGAAGGCACGCUGGUGUGUAGGUGAAGUCCCUGCGGAUGGAGCUGAGACCAGUCGAAGAUACCAGCUGGCUGCAACUGUUUAUUAAAAACACAGCACUGUGCAAACACGAAAGUGGACGUAUACGGUGUGACGCCUGCCCGGUGCCGGAAGGUUAAUUGAUGGGGUUAUCCGUAAGGAGAAGCUCUUGAUCGAAGCCCCGGUAAACGGCGGCCGUAACUAUAACGGUCCUAAGGUAGCGAAAUUCCUUGUCGGGUAAGUUCCGACCUGCACGAAUGGCGUAAUGAUGGCCAGGCUGUCUCCACCCGAGACUCAGUGAAAUUGAACUCGCUGUGAAGAUGCAGUGUACCCGCGGCAAGACGGAAAGACCCCGUGAACCUUUACUAUAGCUUGACACUGAACAUUGAGCCUUGAUGUGUAG
This 2122-nucleotide ribosomal RNA is filed under the name Klebsiella pneumoniae. RNAcentral describes it as "partial 23S ribosomal RNA". It matches the Rfam family "Bacterial large subunit ribosomal RNA", at positions 1 to 2141 of the family's 2925-position model. Lineage: Bacteria; Pseudomonadati; Pseudomonadota; Gammaproteobacteria; Enterobacterales; Enterobacteriaceae. The record is from RNAcentral.